ACCAUGCCUACGGGCGCAGCAGUGGGAAUAUUGCACAAUGGGCGAAAGCCUGAUGCAGCGACGCCGCGUGAGGGAUGACGGCCUUCGGUUGUAAACCUCUUUCAGCAGGGACGAAGCGCAAGUGACGGUACCUGCAGAAGAAGCACCGGCUAACUACGUGCCAGCAGCCGCGGUAAUACGUAGGUGCAAGCGUUGUCCGGAAUUACUGGGCGUAAAGAGUUCGUAGGCGGUUUGUCGCGUCGUUUGUGAAAACCAGCAGCUCAACUGCUGGCUUGCAGGCGAUACGGGCAGACUUGAGUACUGCAGGGGAGACUGGAAUUCCUGGUGUAGCGGUGAAAUGCGUAGAUCAUGGU
RNAcentral lists this ribosomal RNA (353 nucleotides) under uncultured bacterium. RNAcentral's name for it is "bacterial SSU rRNA". It matches the Rfam family "Bacterial small subunit ribosomal RNA", at positions 332 to 703 of the family's 1533-position model. The record is from RNAcentral.